RNAcentral lists this ribosomal RNA (484 nucleotides) under uncultured bacterium. RNAcentral's name for it is "partial 16S ribosomal RNA". It matches the Rfam family "Bacterial small subunit ribosomal RNA", at positions 30 to 507 of the family's 1533-position model. The record is from RNAcentral.
AUUGAACGCUGGCGGCAGGCCUAACACAUGCAAGUCGAGCGGAUGAAGGGAGCUUGCUCCUGGAUUCAGCGGCGGACGGGUGAGUAAUGCCUAGGAAUCUGCCUGGUAGUGGGGGAUAACGUCCGGAAACGGGCGCUAAUACCGCAUACGUCCUGAGGGAGAAAGUGGGGGGUCUUCGGACCUCACGCUAUCAGAUGGGCCUAGGUCGGAUUAGCUAGUUGGUGGGGUAAAGGCCUACCAAGGCGACGAUCCGUAACUGGUCUGAGAGGAUGAUCAGUCACACUGGAACUGAGACACGGUCCAGACUCCUACGGGAGGCAGCAGUGGGGAAUAUUGGACAAUGGGCGAAAGCCUGAUCCAGCCAUGCCGCGUGUGUGAAGAAGGUCUUCGGAUUGUAAAGCACUUUAAGUUGGGAGGAAGGGCAGUAAGUUAAUACCUUGCUGUUUUGACGUUACCAACAGAAUAAGCACCGGCUAACUUCGUG